Molecule: ribosomal RNA, 253 nt
Filed under: uncultured bacterium
Lineage: Bacteria
Description: partial 16S ribosomal RNA
Rfam family: Bacterial small subunit ribosomal RNA
Source: RNAcentral
UACGUAGGGCGCAAGCGUUGUCCGGAAUUAUUGGGCGUAAAGAGCUCGUAGGCGGCUUGUCGCGUCGGCUGUGAAAACCUGGGGCUCAACCCUGGGCCUGCAGCCGAUACGGGCAAGCUAGAAUUCGGUAGGGGAGACUGGAAUUCCUGGUGUAGCGGUGAAAUGCGCAGAUAUCAGGAGGAACACCGGUGGCGAAGGCGGGUCUCUGGGCCGAUAUUGACGCUGAGGAGCGAAAGCGUGGGGAGCGAACAGG